UUAAAGGAAUUGACGGAAGGGCACCACCAGGAGUGGAGCCUGCGGCUUAAUUUGACUCAACACGGGGAACCUCACCCGGCCCGGACACAGUUAGGAUUGACAGAUUGAGAGUUCUUUCUUGAUUCUGUGGGUGGUGGUGCAUGGCCGUUCUUAGUUGGUGGAGCGAUUUGUCUGGUUAAUUCCGAUAACGAACGAGACUCAAUCCUGCUAACUAGUCCGCCGACUAUUCAGCCAGGCGACGACUUCUUAGAGGGACAGAUGUUAUAUAAGCAUACGAAACUGAGCAAUAACAGGUCUGUGAUGCCCUUAGAUGUUCGGGGCCGCACGCGCGCUACACUGAAUGGAUCAACGUGCCUUUCCCGAGGCUGAAAAGUCGAGGUAAUCCGUUGAACCCCAUUCGUGACGGGGAUAGGAGCUUGCAAUUAUUCUCCUUGAACGAGGAAUUCCCAGUAAGCGCGAGUCAUCAGCUCGCGUUGAUUACGUCCCUGCCCUUUGUACACACCGCCCGUCGCUACUACCGAUCGGAUUGUCCUGUGAAUUUCUAGGAGAGUAGAGAUUCUGGCGUUUCGGCGUCGGCGAUCUCAUGCUCGAAUUGAAUUGAACUGGACUCUCUAGAGGAAGUAAAAGUCGUAACAAGGUUUCC
This 643-nucleotide ribosomal RNA is filed under the name Lagis crenulatus. RNAcentral's name for it is "SSU rRNA". It matches the Rfam family "Eukaryotic small subunit ribosomal RNA", at positions 1144 to 1804 of the family's 1831-position model. The record is from RNAcentral. Lineage: Eukaryota; Metazoa; Annelida; Polychaeta; Terebellida; Pectinariidae.